The sequence is a transfer RNA, 73 nucleotides long. It matches the Rfam family "tRNA". Rfam says of the family: Transfer RNA (tRNA) molecules are approximately 80 nucleotides in length. Their secondary structure includes four short double-helical elements and three loops (D, anti-codon, and T loops).
GGGGCUGUAGUUUAACUUGGUAGAAUCUCGGCCUCGGGCGCCGAAGGUCUGGGUUCAAAUCCCAGCAGCCCCA